GCCCCGGUGGCUCAUCGGUCUGAGCGCUGUACCAUAAUCGCAGUGACCUGGGUUCGAUUCCGGCUCGGGUCA
Gymnothorax javanicus (giant moray) is the source of this 72-nucleotide non-coding RNA. The record is from the annotation of a GenBank genome assembly. NCBI's taxonomy places the organism in Eukaryota, Metazoa, Chordata, Actinopteri, Anguilliformes, Muraenidae.